AUUUGAAUGGAGAAAAGGUCUAAUGAUGUUCCAAAAUCUCAAUUUAUGGAACUUCUUAGAUACUGGAACUCAGAAAAAUUUCAGGAAAAAGAGAGGGAAACUCAUGAUCCUCCAUCACUUGAGGAAUUUUUUUGUGGUUACAAGAAAAAGAAAACCCAAUCGAUUAUUCAAGGAUACAGAUGAAGAGUACAAUUGCUGAGAUGGAGAAUAUUAAAAUGCAACAAAAUGAAGAUGGUAAUGAGACAAUUGGUGCAUUUCCAUCUGUCACGGGAUCGAAACAUCCUGGAUGUUUGAGAUUUUAUGGAAUAGGGUUACUAAAACUACUUUGAAAGGGAAAGUGGGACUUUCGAAGCCUCAUCAAAUGCAACAAAUAAGCUCGUGAAAAAGAUAAUAGAGAGAAUGCUAAGAAUGGAAGAAAAAAUUGAGGAACUAAAGGAACAAUUUGAAGAACAAAAGAUCAUGAUGAGACAAGAAAUUUUAGAAGAUGUCAUAACAAAACUCCAUCGUUCAGGCCUACCAAUUGAUGUUAAUGUUUUAGCAACAUUACUUGAUGCUUCGUCAACACGAGAAACAACUAUUUGGUCA
Solanum tuberosum (potato) is the source of this 585-nucleotide long non-coding RNA. RefSeq lists it as uncharacterized. The transcript has 3 exons. Lineage: Eukaryota; Viridiplantae; Streptophyta; Magnoliopsida; Solanales; Solanaceae. The record is from RefSeq and is a predicted model, not a curated record.